UGGGGAAUCUUCCGCAAUGGGCGCAAGCCUGACGGAGCAACGCCGCGUGAGUGAAGAAGGUCUUCGGAUCGUAAAGCUCUGUUGAUGGGGACGAACGUGCCUAAUGCGAAUAGUAUUAGGUAAUGACGGUACCCAUCGAGGAAGCCACGGCUAACUACGUGCCAGCAGCCGCGGUAAUACGUAGGUGGCGAGCGUUGUCCGGAAUCAUUGGGCGUAAAGGGAGCGCAGGCGGGCAUGUAAGUCUUUCUUAAAAGUGCGGGGCUCAACCCCGUGAUGGGAAAGAAACUAUGUGUCUUGAGUACAGGAGAGGAAAGCGGAAUUCCCAGUGUAGCGGUGAAAUGCGUAGAUAUUGGGAGGAACACCAGUGGCGAAGGCGGCUUUCUGGACUGCAACUGACGCUGAGGCUCGAAAGCCAGGGGGGCGAACGGG
This 429-nucleotide ribosomal RNA is filed under the name bacterium. Its description in RNAcentral is "partial 16S ribosomal RNA". It matches the Rfam family "Bacterial small subunit ribosomal RNA", at positions 355 to 776 of the family's 1533-position model. The record is from RNAcentral.